GUGGAUGUUGGGGACAAGCACCUUGGGCGACAGUCGCGGCCGGCGGGAGGAGCUCGCCGCGCCGCAGGAAGAAGAGACGGUGGUCGCCUGUCCGGAACUGUUGUUGCCGGCGCCGGCGACGUCCCCGAGCUGUUGCUGCCAUCCACAACUCCGUCAUGCGCGCUGCUGCCGACAACCUCCCCAACCCGUAGCUGCCCUAUGAGGCUGCUGUUGGGGACAAGAAGCUUGGGCGUUGGCUGCGGCAGGCGGGAGGAGCUCGCCACGCUGCAUGAAGAAGAGAUGGUGGUCGCCUGUACGGAACUGUUGCUGCCGGCGCCGGCGACGUCCCCGACCUAUUGCUGCCUUCCACAACUCCUUCAUGCUGCUACCGACAACCUCCGGAACCUGCAGCUGCCCAUUGAGGGUGUUCUGGGGCAGGGGAGAAGCCGAGGUGGUGACUUUGCGUCUCGGCAGUGAUGACCAUCCCAACUAACUUGGCCAAGCACUGGCUCCCAUCAUAGCCAAGAUCAUGGCGACGGUCAACGGCGGGUCCUAGUGAAUGUCAUGAGCUCACCAUGCUGCAACCGUGGUGGCGGUGACGCUCAUCCUCGUGGACGACCUCUUAGUUAUUGAAGCAAGGGAGCAUAGGAUGCCGAUGUCUUAAAGGGAGCAUAGGAUGCUGAUGUCUUAUGAGGGAGCAUAGGAUGCCGAUGUCUUAUUCAUGACUAUUGGGUGGCCGUCUUCGACUUUCUAGGUGUUUGCUGUUGCAUGGUUGUGGCCCUCGUCCACCUGACCUGCUGCUGCUGGAUCAGUGAGCAAGCUGAUGCUGCUGCCAUCCACCACUCCAGGGACCUCUACAAGGCUGGCGAGGGCAGCUUCAGCCUCGAAGCCAGGGGCGGCAAGAUCUGCCUCAUCUGCACAGUGCCUCAUUUUGGGAACAAGGCCGCAAAAAGAGCUCGAUGCUUUGGAAGCCAAUAUGGAGUUCAAAUCGAAUCCAGUCCCAUGUUACCUUCAACCAGACUAGGAGUGGUCAUGUAGCAGCCCUAAACCGGUAGCAGGCUUCUUUGAACUGGAGAAUGGAAACCAGGAGCUCAAGGGUGACCUUAAGCACGUCGACAUCAACAGCACAAACAGUGCAGACUUGUAAAUCCUCAAUAUUUGCCCCAGGUCAUUUGUUGCAGAAACCUCUGUCUAGUGUUUUACCAUACUAUGUAUUCACAUGAGUUUUUUCAAGUGUGAUAGGCCAUGAAAUUGUAAACUGGUACGGUUUUGAGUAGAUUUUGAAACUAUGUGAACGUGAGAUUUGUGCUUGUGUCUAGGACAUCCUCUCUGCAUCAAAACAUGACACACGUAGUCCACAUAGAUCUCUAUUUCUUCUGCUUAUCCAGGAUAAACAGUGUAUUUUACUUUUCCAUUUGGGAGACUAUGGGUUGAGUUUUCACUUUGUGUUGACUGCUCAUAGGUUAAACUGAUCAGAUGGAGGUGCUGACUCUUUGGCUAAAACAUCUUAUUUACUGAGACUGUUUUGAUUUGUUUGUUGUCAGAUUUUCUCCGAAGUUCAUUUCUUCAGUGUUUAUGUUUUCAUGUUUGUGUUUCAGUCUAAUGCUAAUUUUGCUUCUAUAAAAUGCAUGCAAGGCAACCUAGGUCUAGAUUGUGAAUAUUGUGCCACUGGCUAUUGCUAUUUGACUAGGCAAGAUUUAUGGAGUUAGUGGUUUGGUUUAAAGUUACAAAAUUGCAAUCCUUUGAGACUCUUUGGUUUGACAGUUUGAAGUUGGUCUUAGUGAUUGUUUUGUCUAUAUUUGCAAUCCAUCCAGGGUUUUAGUUGAUGUUUUCUCUAUCUGUGCAUUCAUUCAUUUGAUUUGUGUAUGUAGGUGAUGCAGCUGAUGGAGGGAGGAAGCCAGGCGGCAUGGUCUUGGUCGCCAGAAAGCAGCAUACAACACAUGGCGGAGAGGGGCAGUCGCAAUGUUGGUCGAGGAGGCAACUUGCAACCUACAGAGAAGUUGCUCUUGCUGUUUUAAAGGAGCUUGGUGUGGACGUUCAUGUUUUUGUUGUGUUCAAGUUGAGAACAUGGGGAUGAUGAGGCAGCAAUGACGACGUGACGCAGCCCAGAUGUGUUGUUGCUUGUCUGCAGCUGCUUUGGUUCUGAUAUUAUCGUUCGGUUCCGGUGACCGUGGCUGUGGUUCAGCUGCUGCUUUUGUUUCUGUAGAACUGCUUCAGUUUUUGUAACAUGCAGCAGUGAAAUUGUAUCGUUCCUUCAGUUCCUUCAUUCGUGACUUGCAAUUUUUCUGUAAUUGAAUUUGUGAGUAGUGUCGUGUUGUGCUGUAUUUCACUUAACAUUAAAUGAUUUUUUUAUAUGCGCACCAAAA
Lolium perenne is the source of this 2345-nucleotide non-coding RNA. NCBI's taxonomy places the organism in Eukaryota, Viridiplantae, Streptophyta, Magnoliopsida, Poales, Poaceae. The record is from RefSeq and is a predicted model, not a curated record.